UACAGAGGGGGCAAGCGUUGUUCGGAAUUACUGGGCGUAAAGGGCGCGUAGGCGGCCUUCUAAGUCGAACGUGAAAUCCCCGGGCUCAACCCGGGAACUGCGUCCGAGACUGGAAGGCUCGAAUCCGGGAGAGGGAUGUGGAAUUCCAGGUGUAGCGGUGAAAUGCGUAGAUAUCUGGAGGAACAUCGGUGGCGAAGGCGGCAUCCUGGACCGGUAUUGACGCUGAGGUGCGAAAGCGUGGGGAGCAAACAGG
RNAcentral lists this ribosomal RNA (253 nucleotides) under uncultured bacterium. RNAcentral describes it as "partial 16S ribosomal RNA". It matches the Rfam family "Bacterial small subunit ribosomal RNA", at positions 524 to 776 of the family's 1533-position model. The record is from RNAcentral.